RNAcentral lists this ribosomal RNA (716 nucleotides) under Pseudomonas putida. Its description in RNAcentral is "bacterial SSU rRNA". It matches the Rfam family "Bacterial small subunit ribosomal RNA", at positions 38 to 748 of the family's 1533-position model. Lineage: Bacteria; Pseudomonadati; Pseudomonadota; Gammaproteobacteria; Pseudomonadales; Pseudomonadaceae. The record is from RNAcentral.
GGGGGGGCGCAGGCCUACCAUGCAAGUCGAGCGGAUGACGGGAGCUUGCUCCUUGAUUCAGCGGCGGACGGGUGAGUAAUGCCUAGGAAUCUGCCUGGUAGUGGGGGACAACGUUCCGAAAGGGGCGCUAAUACCGCAUACGUCCUACGGGAGAAAGUGGGGGAUCUUCGGACCUCACGCUAUCAGAUGAGCCUAGGUCGGAUUAGCUAGUUGGUGAGGUAAAGGCUCACCAAGGCGACGAUCCGUAACUGGUCUGAGAGGAUGAUCAGUCACACUGGAACUGAGACACGGUCCAGACUCCUACGGGAGGCAGCAGUGGGGAAUAUUGGACAAUGGGCGAAAGCCUGAUCCAGCCAUGCCGCGUGUGUGAAGAAGGUCUUCGGAUUGUAAAGCACUUUAAGUUGGGAGGAAGGGCAGUAAGUUAAUACCUUGCUGUUUUGACGUUACCGACAGAAUAAGCACCGGCUAACUCUGUGCCAGCAGCCGCGGUAAUACAGAGGGUGCAAGCGUUAAUCGGAAUUACUGGGCGUAAAGCGCGCGUAGGUGGUUCGUUAAGUUGGAUGUGAAAGCCCCGGGCUCAACCUGGGAACUGCAUCCAAAACUGGCGAGCUAGAGUAUGGUAGAGGGUGGUGGAAUUUCCUGUGUAGCGGUGAAAUGCGUAGAUAUAUGAAGGGGACCAUUGGCGAAUGCGACAACCUGGAGGGAUACAGACAUUG